Condylostylus longicornis is the source of this 654-nucleotide long non-coding RNA. RefSeq lists it as uncharacterized. Lineage: Eukaryota; Metazoa; Arthropoda; Insecta; Diptera; Dolichopodidae. The transcript is spliced from 4 exons. The record is from RefSeq and is a predicted model, not a curated record.
GCCGAGUCUAUACGAGAUUCUUUUGUAUUGUUUGCUUGUACCGGAAUAUUUAAAAUUUUAUUUUUCUUUUCUCUUUUUGAUUCGCAAAUAACGUAAAUAAUCAAGAAUUAAGAAGUGAAAAUUUUACUUGUCAUUUUAUUUAUUUAAAAAAAGAAAGAAAAACAACAAGAUUUAUCAAAAAUUUAUCGAACUUUGAAUAAAGACAGUGAAAUUGAUGUUUUUGUGACAUAAGAUAAAAAAAAAAUUGGAUUUUUUUCUUCAUGCUUUUGUUUUUGUCUCAUUUUAAAUUAUAAAUGAUAAUAAAAACAAUUUACAUACAUAUAAAAAUAAAUAAAUAAAUAAAAAGAAGACAUAAGACAAGAUCAGAAAAAGAAGAAACAAAUAAUAAAAAUAUUCACAAUUGAAUUUUAUGAUAAAACAAAAAAAAAACAACAAAAACAAAAAAUAAAUGUGAAUCAAAGAGGAAAUAAUAAGUGAACAAAGAAACAAAAUAUUUAGAUAUAACGGGGGAUAUGUCCAUUUUAAAAAGUCAACAUUUUAUUUAAAAUUUUUUUUAAAUUAAAAAUACAAGUAACUCUCGUUUGACGUUGAUUCUACCUUGUUUUACUUUUUAUGCUUUUAGAAUAAAAUUAAAUUGGAAUGCGAAGAAAAAAC